UACGAAGGGGGCUAGCGUUGCUCGGAAUGACUGGGCGUAAAGGGCGCGUAGGCGGUUUGGACAGUCAGAUGUGAAAUUCCUGGGCUCAACCUGGGGGCUGCAUUUGAUACGUUCGGACUAGAGUGGGGAAGAGGGUCGUGGAAUUCCCAGUGUAGAGGGUGAAAAUUCGUAGAUAUUGGGAAGAACACCGGUGGCGAAGGCGGCGACCUGGUCCGAUACUGACGCUGAGGCGUGAAAGCGUGGGGGAGCAAACAGG
This 256-nucleotide ribosomal RNA is filed under the name uncultured bacterium. RNAcentral's name for it is "partial 16S ribosomal RNA". It matches the Rfam family "Bacterial small subunit ribosomal RNA", at positions 524 to 776 of the family's 1533-position model. The record is from RNAcentral.